Molecule: ribosomal RNA, 253 nt
Filed under: uncultured bacterium
Lineage: Bacteria
Description: partial 16S ribosomal RNA
Rfam family: Bacterial small subunit ribosomal RNA
Source: RNAcentral
UACGUAGGGUGCGAGCGUUGUCCGGAAUUACUGGGCGUAAAGCGCUCGUAGGUGGCUUGUCGCGUUGUUCGUGAAAACUCACAGCUUAACUGUGGGCGUGCGGGCGAUACGGGCAGACUGGAGUACUGCAGGGGAGACUGGAAUUCCUGGUGUAGCGGUGGAAUGCGCAGAUAUCAGGAGGAACACCGGUGGCGAAGGCGGGUCUCUGGGCAGUAACUGACGCUGAGGAGCGAAAGCGUGGGGAGCGAACAGG